UACGGUCGUAUCACGUUGAAACACCAGUCUUCAUACGACCAGCGAAGUUAAGCAACGUAGAACCUGAUCAGCACCUAGAUGAGUGACCGCUUAGGAACACCUGCUGCUGUAAU
Molecule: non-coding RNA, 113 nt
Organism: Acanthosepion pharaonis
Lineage: Eukaryota; Metazoa; Mollusca; Cephalopoda; Sepiida; Sepiidae
Source: the annotation of a GenBank genome assembly